Non-coding RNA from Hypoxylon fuscum, 81 nucleotides. NCBI's taxonomy places the organism in Eukaryota, Fungi, Ascomycota, Sordariomycetes, Xylariales, Hypoxylaceae. The record is from the annotation of a GenBank genome assembly.
GGGCUCGUGGUUCAAGUGGUAGAAUGCUCGCAUAGUAUGCUGGCUGGCGAGAGGUCCGAGGUUCGAUUCCUCGCGGGCCCA